GGCGGAGGGUGCUAGCGUUGUUCGGAAUCACUGGGCGUAAAGGGCGCGUAGGCGGCCAGGCAAGUCGGCUUGUGAAAGCCCGGGGCUCAACCCCGGAGGUGCGGCCGGGACUGCUUGGCUGGAGGCCGGAAGAGGAGGGUGGAAUACCCAGUGUAGAGGUGAAAUUCGUAGAUAUUGGGUGGAACACCGGUGGCGAAAGCGGCUCUCUGGUCCGGACCUGACGCUGAGGCGCGAAAGCGUGGGGAGCAAACAGG
Molecule: ribosomal RNA, 254 nt
Filed under: uncultured bacterium
Lineage: Bacteria
Description: partial 16S ribosomal RNA
Rfam family: Bacterial small subunit ribosomal RNA
Source: RNAcentral